AUACGGAGGAUCCGAGCGUUAUCCGGAUUUAUUGGGUUUAAAGGGUGCGUAGGCGGGACUGUAAGGCAGGGGUGAAAUACUGCAGCUUAACUGUAGCAUUGCCUUUGAAACUGCCGUUCUUGAGUACAGUUGAGGUAGGCGGAAUGUGGUGUGUAGCGGUGAAAUGCAUAGAUAUACCACAGAACGCCGAUUGCGAAGGCAGCUUACUAAGCUGUUACUGACGCUGAGGCACGAAAGCGUGGGGAUCAAACAGGAUUAGAUACCCUGGUAGUCCACGCUGUAAACGAUGAUUACUGGUUGUUAGCGAUAUAUAGCUAGUGACUGAGCGAAAGCAUUAAGUAAUCCACCUGGGGAGUACGUCGGCAACGAUGAAACUCAAAUGAAUUGACGGGG
This 393-nucleotide ribosomal RNA is filed under the name uncultured bacterium. RNAcentral's name for it is "partial 16S ribosomal RNA". It matches the Rfam family "Bacterial small subunit ribosomal RNA", at positions 523 to 918 of the family's 1533-position model. The record is from RNAcentral.